CGCAAUCUGUGCAUGCAGCAUAUCAAUAAGCGGAGGAAAAGAAACUAACAAGGAUUCCCCUAGUAACGGCGAGUGAAGCGGGAAGAGCUCAAAUUUGAAAUCUUAAAGGUUUUCCCUUGACGAAUUGUAGUUUAAAGAAGUGUUUUCUGUUGAAGUUUUGGUAAAAGUUCUUUGGAAUAGGACAUCAUAGAGGGUGAGAAUCCCGUAUUUGACCAUUUACUUUUCAGCUGUGUGAUACACUUUCAAAGAGUCGGAUUGUUUGAGAAUGCAGUCCAAAAUGGGUGGUAAAUUUCAUCUAAAGCUAAAUAUUGGCGAGAGACCGAUAGCGAACAAGUACCGUGAGGGAAAGAUGAAAAGAACUUUGAAAAGAGAGUUAAACAGUACGUGAAAUUGUCAAAAGGGAAGCGUUUGACACCAGUGUUGUUUUCUCGAAAAUCAAUUAAAAAGAGUUAGAUUUUGUUGUGUAUUGACCUUAACAGCUUGCAUUUCAAUUUUCUUGCUUUUUUUAAUGCACUUUUCGUUUAACAAGUCAACAUCAGUUUCUUUUGUUGUAAAAAGGUCAUUGGAAGGUGGCUUUCUUUUCGGAGAAAGUGUUUAUAGCCUUUGACUCCUGCAAUCGGAGAGACUGAGGUCUGCAGCGUAGAUCCUUCGGGGUUAGAUAGCAUUUGUGCUAAGUUAUAGCUUUCUAUAGACAACUUGUUGACUAUGAUUAGUCUUGUAGCUUACUCGCUUAUGCUAUUUUACCUACGCUUAGGAUGUUGAUGUGAUACUGCGAGCA
Molecule: ribosomal RNA, 778 nt
Filed under: uncultured Neocallimastigales
Lineage: Eukaryota; Fungi; Neocallimastigomycota; Neocallimastigomycetes; Neocallimastigales
Description: partial large subunit ribosomal RNA
Rfam family: Eukaryotic large subunit ribosomal RNA
Source: RNAcentral